RNAcentral lists this ribosomal RNA (415 nucleotides) under uncultured bacterium. RNAcentral's name for it is "bacterial SSU rRNA". It matches the Rfam family "Bacterial small subunit ribosomal RNA", at positions 30 to 446 of the family's 1533-position model. The record is from RNAcentral.
AUUGAACGCUGGCGGCAUGCCUUACACAUGCAAGUCGAACGGCAGCACGGGGGCAACCCUGGUGGCGAGUGGCGAACGGGUGAGUAAUAUAUCGGAACGUACCCUGGAGUGGGGGAUAACGUAGCGAAAGUUACGCUAAUACCGCAUACGAUCUAAGGAUGAAAGUGGGGGAUCGCAAGACCUCAUGCUCCUGGAGCGGCCGAUAUCUGAUUAGCUAGUUGGUGGGGUAAAGGCCUACCAAGGCAUCGAUCAGUAGCUGGUCUGAGAGGACGACCAGCCACACUGGGACUGAGACACGGCCCAGACUCCUACGGGAGGCAGCAGUGGGGAAUUUUGGACAAUGGGGGGCAACCCUGAUCCAGCAAUGCCGCGUGAGUGAAGAAGGCCUCGGUUGUAAGACUCUUUGUUCAGGGAG